CAAUUCCGAAAUUUUACAUUGUUGUAGUGCAUUCUUGUUUUUCAUCUUUUCAAAAUUUAUAAGGAUGAGAAACAGAAACAUGAAUUCACGGAAUGUAAACAAAUAUUUUCAAGGAAAUCGCAAUUAGAUGUGCACCUGAGAAGCCAUACUGGUGAGAAACCGUUUCCAUGCGAUAUUUGAUGUUAAAAAUUCUCCCAGUCUGGAAAUUUAACAAUUCACAAAACAAUACAUUCGGAAGAACGACCUUUCAAAUGCAACUGUGGAUAUGCUACAAAAAAAAAAUUUGAUCUGUUAUCACAUGUCAAACGAUUACAUCCACAUGCAAUCGUUUCUGAUAUUAUUACUAUUCCCCCAAAAAACUCGAAAGAAAAUCACAAAUGUGAUAAAUGUGGUAAAAGUUUUCCAUGGUUAUCCACUUUAACAAAACAUCUACUAUCUCAUGAGAAAAGUCGACCGUUUUCAUGUGAUAUUUGUAAGAAAAGGUACAAACAUAAAUUUCACUUAAAAGCACACAUGAAAAUAGUACAUCCACAGGAACAAACAGCAUCUUCUUCCAAGGCAAGCGUUGAAUAUAUUGAAGAUGAAGAAUAUCACAAGGUAGACAAGGAUCAGAAAGAAUCAAUGGAAAAACCAUCAACGAGUGGUCAAAAAUCUCAAUCAGUAGAAUAUGAAGAAUCUGUUGUAGAAAUGCUUAGCAUCGAUUCAGAAAAUAGUGGAAUUAAGAACAGAGACGAAUAUUUAAACAUGAACGAACUGGAACAUUUACCAGAAUUGGAAAUAUUUUCAGAAGUGAUAGUUGAAGAAGUCGAACUAGAAUGUCACAUCUGUCAAGAGAAAUUUGACGACGAAGUAUCUCGUAGAGAACACGAUGCAAAAUUUCAUUAAUUUGAUUAAUCACUUCUGAAUAUUAAUUUGCAAAACAUACAAUUUGGCAGAAAAUCGAAUUAGUAAAUAAGUCCUGUAAAUAUCUUUAUUUUGAAAACUAAAAUUAAUAGAAAAUAUAAAUAAAUUUGUGUUCAAUUCAG
This 1025-nucleotide unclassified non-coding RNA is filed under the name Centruroides sculpturatus (bark scorpion). RNAcentral's name for it is "uncharacterized LOC111629352, transcript variant X2". The record is from RNAcentral. Lineage: Eukaryota; Metazoa; Arthropoda; Arachnida; Scorpiones; Buthidae.